UAUUAUGAGAGUUUGAUCCUGGCUCAGGACGAACGCUGGCGGCGUGCCUAAUACAUGCAAGUCGAACGCUUCUUUUCUCCCGAGUGCUUGCACUCAAUUGGAAAGAGGAGUGGCGGACGGGUGAGUAACACGUGGGUAACCUACCUAUCAGAGGGGGAUAACACUUGGAAACAGGUGCUAAUACCGCAUAACAGUUUAUGCCGCAUGGCAUAAGAGUGAAAGGCGCUUUCGGGUGUCGCUGAUGGAUGGACCCGCGGUGCAUUAGCUAGUUGGUGAGGUAACGGCUCACCAAGGCCACGAUGCAUAGCCGA
Molecule: ribosomal RNA, 311 nt
Filed under: Escherichia coli
Lineage: Bacteria; Pseudomonadati; Pseudomonadota; Gammaproteobacteria; Enterobacterales; Enterobacteriaceae
Description: bacterial SSU rRNA
Rfam family: Bacterial small subunit ribosomal RNA
Source: RNAcentral